Molecule: ribosomal RNA, 253 nt
Filed under: uncultured bacterium
Lineage: Bacteria
Description: partial 16S ribosomal RNA
Rfam family: Bacterial small subunit ribosomal RNA
Source: RNAcentral
UACGAAGGGGACUAGCGUUGUUCGGAUUUACUGGGCGUAAAGCGCGCGUAGGCGGAUUGCUAAGUCAGGGGUGAAAUCCCAAGGCUCAACCUUGGAACUGCCUUUGAUACUGACGAUCUGGAGAUUGGGAGAGGUGAGUGGAAUUCCGAGUGUAGAGGUGAAAUUCGUAGAUAUUCGGAGGAACACCAGAAGCGAAGGCGGCUCACUGGCCCAAUACUGACGCUGAGGCGCGAAAGCGUGGGGAGCAAACAGG